RNAcentral lists this ribosomal RNA (248 nucleotides) under uncultured Muribaculaceae bacterium. RNAcentral's name for it is "partial 16S ribosomal RNA". It matches the Rfam family "Bacterial small subunit ribosomal RNA", at positions 524 to 771 of the family's 1533-position model. The record is from RNAcentral. Lineage: Bacteria; Pseudomonadati; Bacteroidota; Bacteroidia; Bacteroidales; Muribaculaceae.
UACGAAGGGGGCAAGCGUUGUUCGGAAUUACUGGGCGUAAAGGGUGUGUAGGCGGUUAUGUAAGAUAGCGGUGAAAUGCCGGGGCUCAACCUCGGAAUUGCCUUUAUGACUAUAUAACUAGAAUAAUGGAGAGGAUAUCGGAAUACCCAGUGUAGAGGUGAAAUUCGUAGAUAUUGGGUAGAACACCAGUGGCGAAGGCGGGUAUCUGGCCAUUUAUUGACGCUGAGGCACGAAAGCAUGGGGAUCAA